ACAACCAUAGAUAUUUUUCUUCUAAUUUGGCUCCCGUUCCUCCAACAGGGAGCAAGACCUGCCAGCAGAGAUUAACCACAUGCAGGGGACGCUGAACACCUUGCAGGGGCAGUGUAUUGAGUUGCAGACUGCCAUAUCUAAGGUAGUGUCAGAUGAGUCUCAGAUACAGAAGAAUAAGUCUAUGAUGUUAUGGUGAUAAUGAUUGAGAUGGUGAUUAUAAUAAUGAUGACUAACGGUACCCCACCCUGCGGGCGGUAAAUCAUUGGAUCUGAUUAAUUCAAUUCAAUGCAAUUCAAUCUUAGAGGACUGCAACCAUAGAAAUACAAUGUAUUUACACUAAUAAUAAGCUAUUGUCAACUUCCCGUCUAUGGUUAUCUUGCUCAUUGCUCACUGUCAAUUGCUGAUUGUUACCCUGUGUGUGCAACUAUUAUUGAUUUCUCACAGAAAAAUUAUUUGUUUGCAAAUGUACCUGGGGCCAUGUAAAUAAUUGUUAGGCUACUCAUUUUGAAUCCACCGGUGGCAACUUGUGUGACCAUAAAAGUCUGUGUGCGACUGGGCACAGUAAAAUAAUUUGGUUACUGACCUGCCCUACAUCAUAGAAGGCCCUUCAAGUCGGAACUAGGAAAUUCUGACAUUUCUGACUCGCUAACUCGUUAUGGAAUGAUGAUUUCAAGUUUCCCACUUGUGAAGUAUGAGAAUCAACCAGUAGGAAGCUCUACACUAAUAUUUUACAUUCAUUUCAAAUCUGAGGUUCCAAGUUUCCGAUGGCAUGUGAAUUUUUCAAUAGUUGCCAUGGUAAUUUUGAAUGUUCAGUCAGUGGUAAAGCAACACUCACAGUGUGAUGGAGAGAGGUAAAGCAACACUCACAGUGUGUAGAGAGUGGUAAAGCAACACUCACAGUGUGAUGGAGAGAGGUAAAGCAACACUCACAGUGUGAUGGAGAGAGGUAAAGCAACACUCACAGUGUGUAGAAAGUGGUAAAGCAACACUCACAGUGUGUAGAAAGUGGUAAAGCAACUCUCACAGUGUGAUGGAGAGAGGUAAAGCAACACUCACGGUGUGAUGGAGAGUGGUAAAGCAACACUCACAGUGUGUAGAGAGUGGUAAAGCAACACUCACAGUGUGAUGGAGAGUGGUAAAACAACACUCACAGUGUGUAGAGAGUGGUAAAGCAACACUCACAGUGUGUAGAAAGUGGUAAAGCAACACUCACAGUGUGAUGGAGAGUUGUAAAGCAACACUCACAGUGUGAUGGAGAGAGGUAAAGCAACACUCACAGUGUGUAGAGAGUGGUAAAGCAACACUCACAGUGUGAUGGAGAGUGGUAAAGCAACACUCACAGUGUGAUGAGAGAGGUAAAGCAAGACUCACAGUGUGAUGGAGAGUGGUAAAGCAACACUCACAGUGUGAUGGAGAGAGGUAAAGCAACACUCACAGUGUGUAGAGAGUGGUAAAGCAACACUCACAGUGGGAUGGAGAGUGGUAAAGCAACACUCACAGUGUGAUGGAGAGAGGCAAAGCAACACUCACAGUGUGAUGGAGAGUGGUAAAGCAACACUAACAGUGUGAUGGAGAGUGGUAAAGCAACACUCACAGUGUGAUGGAGAGUGGUAAAGCAACACUCACAGUGUGAUGGAGAGAGGUAAAGCAACACUCACAGUGUGAUGGAGAGUGGUAAAGCAACACUCACAGUGUGAUGAGAGUGGUAAAGCAACACUCACAGUGUGAUGGAGAGUGGUAAAGCAACACUCACAGUGUGAUGGAGAGAGGUAAAGCAACACUCACAGUGUGUAGAGAGUGGUAAAGCAACACUCACAGUGUGAUGGAGAGUGGUAAAGCAACACUCACAGUGUGAUGGAGAGUGGUAAAGCAACACUCACAGUGUGAUGGAGAGUGGUAAAGCAACACUCACAGUGUGAUGGAGAGUGGUAAAGCAACACUCACAGUGUGAUGGAGAGUGGUAAAGCAACACUCACAGUGUGUAGAGAGUGGUAAAGCAACACUCACAGUGUGAUGGAGAGUGGUAAAGCAACACUCACAGUGUGAUGGAGAGAGGUAAAGCAACACUCACGGUGUGAUGGAGAGUGGUAAAGCAACACUCACAGUGAGAUGGAGAGAGGUAAAGCAACACUCACAGUGUGAUGGAGAGUGGUAAAGCAACACUCACAGUGUGAUGGAGAGUGGUAAAGCAACACUCACAGUGUGUAGAGAGUGGUAAAGUAACGCUCACAGUGUGUAGAGAGUGGUAAAGCAACACUCACAGUAUGAUGGAGAGAG
Molecule: long non-coding RNA, 2277 nt
Organism: Salmo trutta (river trout)
Lineage: Eukaryota; Metazoa; Chordata; Actinopteri; Salmoniformes; Salmonidae
Source: Ensembl